RNAcentral lists this long non-coding RNA (424 nucleotides) under Malus domestica (apple). RNAcentral's name for it is "long non-coding RNA (MDOM_LNC002210)". Lineage: Eukaryota; Viridiplantae; Streptophyta; Magnoliopsida; Rosales; Rosaceae. The record is from RNAcentral.
UAGGUUUCCAUAAGACUGUAGAUUAAACAAAAUCGACGCCAAAUAGUCUAAAACGACAUGUAACAAUACCCGAAACGACAAUUCAUCAAAAGAAAAGCAUGAGACCUAGGUGUUGGUAGCCCUGGUGUAGAUCUGCUGGCUGGCGUGAGCAGAGACCAUCCUGAUCAAGCCUCUGGCCAUCAACUCCCUGAUGGCCCUCCUUGCCAGCGAGCCGUUGAUCCUGAGACGGUCGGAGAGAAUGGACGGUGUGAUGAGCUUGUACUUGGGUGCCUCGGUGAGGAGCUUGUCGUAGGUUCCCUGGUCGAAGAGCACCAUGUUGUUCACCUUCUCCUUCUGCUUUCCCUUGCUCCACUUCUUCUUCUUCUGCUUGCCUCCGCCGGACUUCGCCGGCUUCGACGACGGCGGCGGUGCCUUGUCCUUCUUC